This 251-nucleotide ribosomal RNA is filed under the name uncultured prokaryote. RNAcentral's name for it is "partial 16S rRNA". It matches the Rfam family "Bacterial small subunit ribosomal RNA", at positions 525 to 775 of the family's 1533-position model. The record is from RNAcentral.
ACGGAGGUCCCUAGCGUUGUUCGGAAUUACUGGGCUUAAAGCGCGUGUAGGCGGAACGGUGAGUACCUUGUGAAAUCCCCGGUCUCAAGCCGGGAACUGCUCGGUAUACUAUCGUUCUUGAGGCAGGUAGGGGUCACUGGAACCUUAGGUGGAGCGGUGAAAUGCGUAGAUAUCUAAGGGAACGCCUGUGGCGAAAGCGGGUGACUGGGCCUGUCCUGACGCUGAGACGCGAAAGCGUAGGGAGCAAACGG